This 71-nucleotide transfer RNA is filed under the name Camelus bactrianus (Bactrian camel). It matches the Rfam family "tRNA". Rfam says of the family: Transfer RNA (tRNA) molecules are approximately 80 nucleotides in length. Their secondary structure includes four short double-helical elements and three loops (D, anti-codon, and T loops). Further hydrogen bonds mediate the characteristic L-shaped molecular structure. tRNAs have two regions of fundamental functional importance: the anti-codon, which is responsible for specific mRNA codon recognition, and the 3' end, to which the tRNAs corresponding amino acid is attached (by aminoacyl-tRNA synthetases). tRNAs cope with the degeneracy of the genetic code in two manners: having more than one tRNA (with a specific anti-codon) for a particular amino acid; and 'wobble' base-pairing, i.e. permitting non-standard base-pairing at the 3rd anti-codon position. The record is from Rfam by way of RNAcentral. RNAcentral also lists the same sequence under 2 other names. Lineage: Eukaryota; Metazoa; Chordata; Mammalia; Artiodactyla; Camelidae.
GAGGGCUUAGCUCAGUGGUAGAGUGUGUGCUUAGCAUGUACGAGGUCCUGGCUUCAAUUCCCAGGACUUCU